RNAcentral lists this ribosomal RNA (253 nucleotides) under uncultured bacterium. RNAcentral's name for it is "partial 16S ribosomal RNA". It matches the Rfam family "Bacterial small subunit ribosomal RNA", at positions 524 to 776 of the family's 1533-position model. The record is from RNAcentral.
UACGUAGGGGGCAAGCGUUGUCCGGAUUUAUUGGGCGUAAAGCGCGUGUAGGUGGCCAAGUAGGUCCGCUGUGAAAACUUGAGGCUCAACCUCAAGCUGUCGGUGGAAACCCCUUGGCUAGAGUCCGGAAGAGGAGAGUGGAAUUCCUGGUGUAGCGGUGAAAUGCGCAGAUAUCAGGAAGAACACCAAUGGCGAAGGCAGCUCUCUGGGACGGUACUGACACUGAGACGCGAAAGCGUGGGGAGCGAACAGG